Molecule: ribosomal RNA, 862 nt
Filed under: Platypleura hilpa
Lineage: Eukaryota; Metazoa; Arthropoda; Insecta; Hemiptera; Cicadidae
Description: SSU rRNA
Rfam family: Eukaryotic small subunit ribosomal RNA
Source: RNAcentral
UUAGCCAUGCAAGUCUCAGUACAUGCCGCACUAAGGUGAAACCGCAAAAGGCUCAUUAAAUCAGUUAUGGUUCCUUGGAUCUUAAACAGUUACUUGGAUAACUGUGGUAAUUCUAGAGCUAAUACAUGCAAACAAGUCCCGACCAGAGAUGGGAGGGACGCUUUUAUUAGAUCAAAACCGAUCGGCGUCCGGCUCCGGCCGGCGCCGUCUCUUUUGGUGACUCUGGAUAACUUUUAGCCGAUCGCACGGUCACAGUACCGGCGACGCAUCUUUCAAAUGUCUGACUUAUCAACUGUCGAUGGUAGGCUCUGCGCCUACCAUGGUUGUAACGGGUAACGGGGAAUCAGGGUUCGAUUCCGGAGAGGGAGCCUGAGAAACGGCUACCACAUCCAAGGAAGGCAGCAGGCGCGCAAAUUACCCACUCCCGGCACGGGGAGGUAGUGACGAAAAAUAACGAUACGGGACUCAUCCGAGGCCCCGUAAUCGGAAUGAGUACACUUUAAAUACUUUAACGAGUACCAAUUGGAGGGCAAGUCUGGUGCCAGCAGCCGCGGUAAUUCCAGCUCCAAUAGCGUAUAUUAAAGUUGUUGCGGUUAAAAAGCUCGUAGUUGGAUCUGUGUGCCACGCUGUCGGUUCACCGCCCGUCGGUGUCAACUGGCAUGUCUGUGGGACGUCCUGCCGGUGGCGGUACGGGCUGCCGGCGCUGCGUAGGGGCACAACCCCGAAGCACGCCGGCGUGUCCCGGUCCGCCGAUCCAAUCCCGCCGCGGUGCUCUUCACUGAGUGUCGAGGUGGGCCGGCACGUUUACUUUGAACAAAUUAGAGUGCUCAAAUCAGGUCGUCUUUAGGCCUGAAUACUGUGU